RNAcentral lists this ribosomal RNA (428 nucleotides) under uncultured archaeon. RNAcentral's name for it is "partial 16S ribosomal RNA". The record is from RNAcentral.
AUUUCUCAAGAGACUUAUCCGGCCGGCUACAGACCCUUUAGACCCAAUAAUAACGGUUACCACUCGAGCCGCCGGUGUUACCGCGGCGGCUGGCACCGGUCUUGCCCGGCCCUUGCUAUGAAAUGCUUUUUAGGCAUCUCGACAGCCAGAUUUGUAACCUGGCACUCGAGGUUCCCUUAUCGCUGUUGCCAGCAUUGUAAAGUUUUCGCGCCUGCUGCACCCCGUAGGGCCUGGAUUCGUGUCUCAGAAUCCAUCUCCGGGCUCUUGCUCUCACAACCCGUACCCGUCGUAGGCUAGUAGGUACGCUACACCCACUACUACCUGAUAGGCCGCAGACCCAUCCUUAGGCGCCGGAGCUUUAAAUCUCGAUGCAUUCCAGCAAUCGAGACCUAUCGGGUAUUAUACCCAGUUUCCCGGGUUUAUCCCCG